UAACCUGGUUGAUCCUGCCAGUAGUCAUAUGCUCAUCUUGAAGAUUAAGCCAUGCAUGUCUAAGUAUAAAUGACUUUAUACAGUGAAACUGCGAAUGGCUCAUUAAAUCAGUUAUAGUUUAUUUGAUAAUACCUUACUACAUGGAUAACUGUGGUAAUUCUAGAGCUAAUACAUGCGACAAGUCCCGACUUUGCGGAAGGGAUGCAUUUAUUAGAUACAAAACCAAUGCGUCGGGUAAAACCGGCGGACCUUGGUGAUUCAUGAUAACUUGGCGAAUCGCAUGCUCUCGCAGCGGCGAUGAAUCAUUCAAAUUUCUGCCCUAUCAAGUUUUGACGUUAGGGUAGUGGCCUAACGUGCUUGUAACGGGUGACGGAGAAUUAGGGUUCGGUUCCGGAGAGGGCGCCUGAGAAAUGGCGACCACUUCCAAGGAAGGCAGCAGGCGCGCAAAUUACCCAAUGGGCAAAGCCCGAGGUAGUGAAGAUACAUAACAAUAGUGGUCCCAUUCGGGACUACUAAUUGGAAUGAGUACAAUUUAAAUCCAUUAACGAGGAACAAUUGGAGGGCAAGUCUGGUGCCAGCAGCCGCGGUAAUUCCAGCUCCAAUAGCGUAUAUUAAAGUUGUUGCAGUUAAAAAGCUCGUAGUCGGAUGUCGGGGCGUCGGCGAGCCCGGUCUGCCGGAAUGGUGUGUACUGGUUCGCCCGUCUCUUCUUCCGGUGUGUCGGCGGCUUCCCUUCACUGGGCGGCCGUUUCCGGCUCCGGAUCGUUUACUUUGAGAAAAUUAGAGUGUUUAAAGCAGACAUAACGUCGUCUUGAAUACUACAGCAUGGGAUAAUGGAAUAGGCUCUUGCGCCUAUUUUGUUGGUUUCUGGGAGCGAGAGAAUGAUCAAUGGGAAUCGUCGGGGGUAUUCAUAUUUAAUUGUCAGAGGUGAAAUUCUUGGAUUUAUGAAAGAUGAACAUCUGCGAAAGCUUCUAUCAAGGAGGUUUUCAUCGAUCAAGAACGAAAGUUAGGGGAUCGAAGACGAUCAGAUACCGUCGUAGUCUUAACCAUAAACUAUGCCGACCAGGGAUCGGGAGACGUUCCAUUAUACGACUCGCCCAGCACCUUGAGAGAAAUCAAAAGUCUUUGGGUUCCGGGGGGAGUAUGGUCGCAAGUCUGAAACUUAAAGGAAUUGACGGAAGGGCACCACCAGGAGUGGAGCCUGCGGCUUAAUUUGACUCAACACGGGAAAUCUUACCAGGUCCAGACAUAGUGAGGAUUGACAGAUUGAGAGCUCUUUCUUGAUUCUAUGGGUGGUGGUGCAUGGCCGUUCUUAGUCGGUGGAGUGAUUUGUCUGGUUGAUUCCGAUAACGGACGAGACCUCAGCCUGCUAACUAGUCACGCGAACCGUCUGCUCGGGUGAAAGCAGGGCACGGCUCGGUGCCGACUCCGGUCGGUGCUCCUGCCCUGCCGGAUCCUUGACGUGUUCGUGGCAGCACUUCUUAGAGGGACUAUUGGUAUCGAAUCAAUGGAAGCUUGAGGCAAUAACAGGUCUGUGAUGCCCUUAGAUGUUCUGGGCCGCACGCGCGCUACACUGGCCGGUGCAACGAGCGCUUACCUUGGCCGAAAGGUCUGGGCAAUCUUGUGAAACCCGGCCGUGAUGGGGAUAGAUCAUUGCAAUUAUUGAUCUUCAACGAGGAAUUCCUAGUAAGCGCGAGUCAUCAGCUCGCGUUGAUUACGUCCCUGCCCUUUGUACACACCGCCCGUCGCUCCUACCGAUUGAAUGGUCCGGUGAAAUCUUCGGACGGGGGCGUGCAAGCGCCGGGGCAACUCGGCGCUGACGUCUCCGAAAGAUGAUUAACCUUUACAUUUAGAGGAAGGAG
This 1859-nucleotide ribosomal RNA is filed under the name Phalansterium sp. SR1-9H. RNAcentral describes it as "SSU rRNA". It matches the Rfam family "Eukaryotic small subunit ribosomal RNA". Lineage: Eukaryota; Evosea; Variosea. The record is from RNAcentral.